Pezoporus flaviventris is the source of this 2262-nucleotide long non-coding RNA. RefSeq lists it as uncharacterized. The record is from RefSeq and is a predicted model, not a curated record. The transcript has 4 exons. Lineage: Eukaryota; Metazoa; Chordata; Aves; Psittaciformes; Psittacidae.
GGCGGAGGCGGGUGAUGCAGACCUCAUGCGGCGGCAGCGGAAGCGCUUUCGCUCCGCAGUGGGAGAGGCCCGCAGGUGGGGUGGCCCCUAUCCCGCCCCUCUGCCCCGGCGUGAACCGCCGUGGCCGCCCUCUGUCCCGGCCUCAACCCCCGCCGGGGGAGCUGAGGGGGCGCGCGCCUGCUGAGGGGAGCUGCCCGCCUUCCGCCGCCCGCGGUGCGAGCUGUCGCGAUAGGUGAACCGGCGCAGGGGUUUGGCACGGAGCUGCCCCGCGCGUGUCGUGACAGGAGCGUCAGCCUUACUGUGGGGACUGCCCUCAUUUCUGUCGUGACGGGAGCCUCAUCCAGCCGAAGGGAGGCUCCAGAGCAGCUAAAACUGAUGCUGGUGUGAUCCUGAAGUCAGAGCAGAGAUGCUGUGUGUCUUCUGUCAUGUGACAGAAAGCUAUAGGUGUCAGAUGAGAAGGCUGUAAGAGCAAACUGGGUUGCUGAGAAGUGCAAAGGGAAGAAAUGGGAGCAAUUUUGAUCCAGUGGACUGAACGACCUGUGAAUGGGCCAAGCGCCAGAGGAAAACAUGCACAGGCUUGGGGCAGCCAGAAAACUACUAGACAGUCACUGAGAAGCUAAGAGGGGUUUUGUCCUGUUUUGCUUUGUUUAUGUUUUCUCGUAUCUAUGUGGUUCUGAAAACCACAAUCUCCAGUCUGGAAAAUACAUAUUUUGGCUUUGUAUGGGUUUCUAUAUUCUGUUCAUCCCACUCAGUAGUGUAUUAACUUUUGUCAUAUGAUUUGUUUUUUCUCUUACUGUCUCCAUGGGAAAAAAGUGUUGGAACUGUAGUCCUUAUGUAGUGCUUAGGUUUAUUAUUUCUAUGUUUGCAUUACAUGCAGAUGAGGACCUGCAUCUUGCUUAGGAGGGAAUGGUAGCCUGAGCAUGUUCAGGAAACCUGGUGCUUCUAUGGAGCCGAUGUCAAGUGUGACGGUGGGUAGCCAUUCUGUAUCAAAGGAAAGGAUUUUCCUUAUCCUGUGUCUGAGCAGCAGGGAGGCAUUUCAGCAGCCAUUACAGUAAUUUCUGUAUCUCGGGAGGCUCAGAGUUGCUGUAGCAACCUUUUGCUAGAUAGGAAUUUGGCUGGUGAAGCCCCACAGGAAUCUGCUCCCACUCUCAACUAACCUCUCACAUCACCGAGCUCAGCUGCCAGGGAGAAACCCCAGCUGUGAGUCAGGUGGGGUGAGGGACCUCUUUCCACAGGUUCCUCACAGAACUUUCCCCUAAUUACCAGGAUCAGAUGCUUUCUGGCAGUUUUCCAUGGGGCCGGAGAUUUGCUGUGUGUACGGAGUUCUGCAAUUGUAAAAAUGGUCAUAGUAAAUUUGGAGCAUACAAACAAGCCCUUAUUCAUGCACUCACAGAUACAGAAGCUGAACAUGCAAAAGCAGGGAGUGCAGUUUUAGAGACCAGUGUGGGAAGUUUGACUGGGAGGCAGUGGUAGUUCUGGUGACACAAAAGAAGUAUUAUAAAGUCACCGAGGGGAUCAGGCAGAUGGGAACAGACUUGAGUAGGAAGGAAUACAGACAAGGUCCCCAAAGCCUGUUACUUUGAUUUGGAUAAAAAAUGAAGUGUGAAGUUGGUCAGAGCAUGAGGGGAUGCAUCACUGCUAAACCAGUUCCUUCCAAAGUGUGAAAUAGUUUCUAGAGUAAUGAAAGACAGUUUUUUGGCCUUCCAAGCUGCUGUUGGUGGAGAAUAAUAUUUAGAAGACUUUAUUUAUAGACAAUAUUGUCCAAUGAUUAGAGACAGUUAUUGUGGACUCUAGGCUUUUGUUUCUAAUUCUACAGGUGACUGCCAUCGUCAAACCACAGCACCCUGUAUCUAAAGACUAGAAAACAAUCAAUUGAAUUAAAACAAGACUUUGACAUAAUACAACUUAAGCUGGCCCAAAUCUGGUACUUCUGACAAAGAAUGAAGUCGUGCUGCCACCUUACAUCUUGAUGCUGGUUUCUAUCCCUGUAUCCUCCCUCACUGUAUAGGUACAGGCACUGGGAAGUUAUCCAUGACACAGCUGCAUCAGGAGCAAGGAACCAACUGCAGGCCUUAAACCCAGACUGAGAUGUCAGCUAUAGUCUUCAUCACUGAAGGGUUCAGUUAAGCAAGCAUGCUCGGAGCUUAUCUGACAGCUCUCAGGUAAGCUGGCCUUUCCUAGGACUGUGUACUGCCUUCUCUUUUUACUCUGUUGGAGGAAGAGGAAUUGGCAUAACUACUGUUUUCCUUUUAUACAUUGCUU